AUUGAACGCUGGCGGCAUGCUUUACACAUGCAAGUCGAACGGUAACAGGCCGCAAGGUGCUGACGAGUGGCGAACGGGUGAGUAAUGCAUCGGAACGUGCCCAGUCGUGGGGGAUAACUACUCGAAAGAGUAGCUAAUACCGCAUACGAUCUAUGGAUGAAAGCGGGGGACCGUAAGGCCUCGCGCGAUUGGAUCGGCCGAUGUCAGAUUAGGUAGUUGGUGGGGUAAAGGCUCACCAAGCCAACGAUCUGUAGCUGGUCUGAGAGGACAACCAGCCACACUGGGACUGAGACACGGCCCAGACUCCUACGGGAGGCAGCAGUGGGGAAUGUUGGACAAUGGGCGCAAGCCUGAUCCAGCAAUGCCGCGUGCAGGAAGAAGGCCUUCGGGUUGUAAACUGCUUUUGUACGGAACGAAACGGCUCUGGUUAAUACCCGGGGCUAAUGACGGUACCGUAAGAAGAAGCACCGGCUAACUACGUG
Molecule: ribosomal RNA, 482 nt
Filed under: uncultured bacterium
Lineage: Bacteria
Description: partial 16S ribosomal RNA
Rfam family: Bacterial small subunit ribosomal RNA
Source: RNAcentral